RNAcentral lists this ribosomal RNA (449 nucleotides) under uncultured bacterium. RNAcentral's name for it is "partial 16S ribosomal RNA". It matches the Rfam family "Bacterial small subunit ribosomal RNA", at positions 29 to 523 of the family's 1533-position model. The record is from RNAcentral.
AAUGAACGCUGGCGGCAUGCCUAACACAUGCAAGUCGAACGAAGGCUUCGGCCUUAGUGGCGCACGGGUGCGUAACGCGUGGGCAUCUGCCCUCAGGUUCGGAAUAACAGCGAGAAAUUGCUGCUAAUACCGGAUGAUAUCGCGAGAUCAGAGAUUUAUCGCCUGAGGAUGAGCCCGCGUAGGAUUAGCUAGUUGGUGUGGUAAAGGCGCACCAAGGAGACGAACCUUAGCUGGUCUGAGAGGAUGAUCAGCCACACUGGGACUGAGACACCGCCCAGGCUCCUACGUAAGGCAGGAGUGGGGAAUAUUGGACAAAGGGCGAAACGCUGAUCCAGCAAUGCCGCCUGAGUGAUGCAGGCCUUAGGGUUGUAAAGCUCUUUUACCCGGGAUGAUAGUGAUAGUACCGGGAGAAUAAGCGCCGGCUAACUCCGUGCCUGCCGCCGCGGUAA